Molecule: non-coding RNA, 444 nt
Organism: Xanthomonas albilineans GPE PC73
Lineage: Bacteria; Pseudomonadati; Pseudomonadota; Gammaproteobacteria; Lysobacterales; Lysobacteraceae
Rfam family: Bacterial RNase P class A
About the family: Ribonuclease P (RNase P) is a ubiquitous endoribonuclease, found in archaea, bacteria and eukarya as well as chloroplasts and mitochondria.
Source: Rfam
GGAGUCGGCCAGGCAGUCGCGUCACUCCGGCGCAUUUCGGUGCGGCGGGGUGCCGAGGAAAGUCCGGGCUCCACAGGGCAAGGUGCCAGGUAACGCCUGGGCGGCGCGAGCCGACGGAAAGUGCAACAGAAAGAUACCGCCUACGUCCCUCGCCACCCCUCUGCCGCUGCUGGAGUGCAUUGGCGAUGCGCGGCAUCGGCCAAGCGCGUUCGGCGACGGUAGCGGGGUGGCGAGGGGCCGGUAAGGGUGAAAUGGUGCGGUAAGAGCGCACCGCGAGUCCGGUAACGGACCGGCACGGCAAACCCCACCUGGAGCAAGACCAAAUAGGGACCUCAUGGCGCGGCCCGCGUCGGGUCCGGGUAGGUUGCUCGAGCGUACCGGUGACGGUGCGCCUAGAAGAAUGACUGUCCACGACAGAACCCGGCUUAUCGGCCGGCUCCGCCA